RNAcentral lists this long non-coding RNA (578 nucleotides) under Sinocyclocheilus grahami. RNAcentral describes it as "lncRNA (ENSSGRG00000041086.1)". The record is from RNAcentral. Lineage: Eukaryota; Metazoa; Chordata; Actinopteri; Cypriniformes; Cyprinidae.
AUCUGAAUGUUGUAACAGCGGUAAACGCGAUGGCGGCAGCUGAAAUUCAGAACCAAACAUACGACGUCAUACACUGCCUAUUACAAAAUGAACUAUAUUUUGAUAUGGUGGAGCCUGAUGGUGCUGAAGAUGAGAACUCAUUUGACCCUGUAAAAAUAGCCUCAAAGCUCAGGGAACUGGGUGAUGAUUAUGAUGAGAGAGUGAUCCAGCCAUUGAUGAAGAAUGUACAGAAAGCUGCAGCCGAUCAGGUGGUGACUGCCUUCAGUGAUAGUGUGGACAGCUUGUGUAAGAUGUGGGUUGUGGAAAGAACAGAAGUGGCCUCAGAGAAGCAGCUUCUCAAGGCCGCCAUCACACUGGGACUCUUUAUGAAGAAAAACUGCCCUGACAUGACGAAUGUAGUUGAGAGCGCUAUGAUGGGAUUCGUCAACAACCGUCUAACAUACUGGAUUGCAGAGCAAGGUGGCUGGGUGAGGAUUCUUUUAUCAGAUUUACAUUAACUGCUUCUUUUUGUAGGAAACUUAGUAACGAAAACCAAGAGAUUUGGGUAUGUCUCCAGCAAGGAUAAGUGACUUUCAAAC